CUACGUGCCAGCAGCCGCGGUAAUACGGAAGGUCCGGGCGUUAUCCGGAUUUAUUGGGUUUAAAGGGAGCGUAGGCCGGAGAUUAAGUGUGUUGUGAAAUGUAGACGCUCAACGUCUGACUUGCAGCGCAUACUGGUUUCCUUGAGUACGCACAACGUUGGCGGAAUUCGUCGUGUAGCGGUGAAAUGCUUAGAUAUGACGAAGAACUCCGAUUGCGAAGGCAGCUGACGGGAGCGCAACUGACGCUGAAGCUCGAAGGUGCGGGUAUCGAACAGGAUUAGAUACCCUGGUAGUCCGCACAGUAAACGAUGGAUGCCCGCUGUUGGUACCUGGUAUCAGCGGCUAAGCGAAAGCAUUAAGCAUCCCACCUGGGGAGUACGCCGGCAACGGUGAAACUCAAAGGAAUUGACGGGGGCCCGCACAAGCGGAGGAACAUGUGGUUUAAUUCGAUGAUACGCGAGGAACCUUACCCGGGCUUGAA
RNAcentral lists this ribosomal RNA (481 nucleotides) under uncultured bacterium. RNAcentral describes it as "bacterial SSU rRNA". It matches the Rfam family "Bacterial small subunit ribosomal RNA", at positions 501 to 985 of the family's 1533-position model. The record is from RNAcentral.